CCUACGGGCGGCAGCAGUGGGGAAUAUUGGACAAUGGGGGCAACCCUGAUCCAGCCAUGCCGCGUGUGUGGAGAAGGCCCUCGGGUUGUAAAGCACUUUCAGUGAGGAAGAACGCCUGGUGGUUAAUACCCAUCAGGAAAGACAUCACUCACAGAAGAAGCACCGGCUAACUCCGUGCCAGCAGCCGCGGUAAUACGGAGGGUGCGAGCGUUAAUCGGAAUUACUGGGCGUAAAGCGCGCGUAGGUGGCUUGAUAAGCCGGUUGUGAAAGCCCCGGGCUCAACCUGGGAACGGCAUCCGGAACUGUCAAGCUAGAGUGCAGGAGAGGAAGGUAGAAUUCCCGGUGUAGCGGUGAAAUGCGUAGAGAUCGGGAGGAAUACCAGUGGCGAAGGCGGCCUUCUGGACUGACACUGACACUGAGGUGCGAAAGCGUGGGUAGCAAACAGGAUUAGAUACCCUAGUAGUC
RNAcentral lists this ribosomal RNA (465 nucleotides) under Vreelandella stevensii. RNAcentral describes it as "partial 16S ribosomal RNA". It matches the Rfam family "Bacterial small subunit ribosomal RNA", at positions 338 to 795 of the family's 1533-position model. The record is from RNAcentral. Lineage: Bacteria; Pseudomonadati; Pseudomonadota; Gammaproteobacteria; Oceanospirillales; Halomonadaceae.